Molecule: ribosomal RNA, 544 nt
Filed under: uncultured archaeon
Lineage: Archaea
Description: bacterial SSU rRNA
Rfam family: Bacterial small subunit ribosomal RNA
Source: RNAcentral
CAGCCGCCGCGGUAAGACGUGGGGGGCAAGCGUUGUCCGGAAUUACUGGGCGUAAAGGGCGUGUAGGCGGCCUGCCAAGUCAGCUGUGAAAUUCCCCGGCUCAACCGGGGGACUGCAGUUGAAACUGGCGGGCUUGAGUGCAGGAGAGGAGGGUGGAAUUCCUGGUGUAGCGGUGAAAUGCGUAGAUAUCAGGAGGAACACCGGUGGCGAAGGCGACCUUCUGGCCUGUUACUGACGCUGAGGCGCGAAAGCUAGGGGAGCAAACAGGAUUAGAUACCCUGGUAGUCCUAGCCGUAAACGCUGGGUACUAGGUGUAGGAGGUUUCAAUACCUUCUGUGCCGCAGUUAACGCAUUAAGUACCCCGCCUGGGGAGUACGGUCGCAAGGUUGAAACUCAAAGGAAUUGACGGGGGCCCGCACAAGCGGUGGAGCAUGUGGUUUAAUUCGAAGCAACGCGAAGAACCUUACCAGGGCUUGACAUCUACCGGAAGACCUGUGGAAACACGGGUUGUCCUUCGGGACUGGUAGACAGGAGGUGCAUGGCC